CGCGUAGGCGGUCGGGUAAGUCGGGUGUGAAAUUCCGGGGCUCAACCCCGUGGACUGCAUCCGAUACUGCUCGACUAGAGAGAGGUAGGGGCGAGUGGAAUUCCCGGUGUAGCGGUGGAAUGCGUAGAUAUCGGGAAGAACACCGGUGGCGAAGGCGGCUCGCUGGGCCUCGUCUGACGCUGAAGCGCGAAAGCGUGGGAGCAAACA
Molecule: ribosomal RNA, 207 nt
Filed under: uncultured bacterium
Lineage: Bacteria
Description: partial 16S ribosomal RNA
Rfam family: Bacterial small subunit ribosomal RNA
Source: RNAcentral